GAUGAACGCUGGCGGCGUGCCUAAUACAUGCAAGUCGAGCGAACAGAUAAGGAGCUUGCUCCUUUGACGUUAGCGGCGGACGGGUGAGUAACACGUGGGUAACCUACCUAUAAGACUGGGAUAACCUCGGGAAACCGGAGCUAAUACCGGAUAACAUUUGGAACCGCAUGGUUCUAAAGUGAAAGAUGGUUUUGCUAUCACUUAUAGAUGGACCCGCGCCGUAUUAGCUAGUUGGUAAGGUAACGGCUUACCAAGGCAACGAUACGUAGCCGACCUGAGAGGGUGAUCGGCCACCCUGGAACUGGGACACGGUCCAGGCUCCUGCGGGAGGGAGCAGUAGGGAAUCUUCCGCAAUGGGCGAAAGCCUGACGGAGCGACGCCGCGUGAGUGAUGAAGGGUUUCGGCGCGUGAAAAUCUGUUAUUAGGGAAGAACAAAUGUGUAAGUAACUGUGCACGUCUUGACGGUACCUAAUCAGAAAGCCACGGCUAACUACGUG
RNAcentral lists this ribosomal RNA (497 nucleotides) under uncultured bacterium. Its description in RNAcentral is "partial 16S ribosomal RNA". It matches the Rfam family "Bacterial small subunit ribosomal RNA", at positions 28 to 507 of the family's 1533-position model. The record is from RNAcentral.